Molecule: long non-coding RNA, 1123 nt
Filed under: Callithrix jacchus (white-tufted-ear marmoset)
Lineage: Eukaryota; Metazoa; Chordata; Mammalia; Primates; Cebidae
Description: lncRNA (ENSCJAG00000068061.2)
Source: RNAcentral
UCUAUCUAAAAAUUUGGAGUCAACAGAAAGGGAUAUUCUUAGAAGUCCAUUUUGUUAGUCUUAUGAUCUCAAUAUUUAACAUUAAUGCUGAGUAGUUGUCUCCGAACUCCAAAGGGAGAGUUUGCCUGACCUCUUGUUAGUGGUGGGAGAGACCGAGUUACCAGCAGCGAAUCCGUCCGCAGCUGCAGCAACUUCAAUUCUUGCCUCCUCAGAAGAAAGAAUUCAACGGAGGGACAUAAAGCAGAAAGAGACCAAGGCUCUUGUCCCCUGAGACAACCAACUUUUAGAAUUUCAAUGCAAAUUAUCUCACUGCCUGCCUCCCCCAUUUCCUCAAAGCUAAUUUUUCCACUCCUGCCCUUCAAGCCUUGGGGUCUUGCUGCAUUCGUGGGAUUGCUCCCAAUAGCAUUUAAACAAAAUAAAAUUAAAAGGAGCACUGAAAGUCCAGCCCAGUUCUGAUUCAUUGCUCAUUGGAAGAAGAGUAAUAUCAGCUUGUUGGUGGUACUGUUCAUUUUUUCAUCUACUGAAGAACAUCUGGAUUUAAGACAAAUAAAGCUGUGAUGAAAUACUUGAACAUCUGGAAUUACAGCGAAGUUCCUGAAUGGAGUGGGGGAAAAAAAAUUCUGGAGCCUGGGUAAUCCAAGAUCAACACAUCAGUAGAUUCGAUGUCUGUGAAGUACAUGCUUCCUGUUUCAGAGAUGGGUGUCUUCUCACUGUGUCCUCACAUUGUGGAAGGGGUGAAGGAUUCUCCUGGACCUCUUUUCUGGGUACACUGAUCUUAUUCAUGAGGGCUCCACCCUCAUGACCAAAUCACCUCCCACAUGCCCCACCUCUUAAUACAAUCACUUUGGGGGUUGAAUGGGGGGGAGGGCAGAAACAUUCAAUCUGUAGUAACUUGUGUAAAUUGUGUAUCUAUGAACUACUUGUGGAAAUAAAAAAACAUUAAAGGUAUGAACUAGAAAAAUAAUGAGUGAGAAUUUAAAAUAUUAAUCAAUGGUACCCAACCUUGUUUUUUUUUUUUUUUUUUUUUUUUGAGAUGGGGGUUGUCAUAUUUUGGGGUAUCUGUUUCUGACCACCCAAACUGGGGUAUCAGCCAUGAUGCUUUAUGAUGGAGAGGAAAAGGAUU